RNAcentral lists this ribosomal RNA (482 nucleotides) under uncultured bacterium. RNAcentral's name for it is "partial 16S ribosomal RNA". It matches the Rfam family "Bacterial small subunit ribosomal RNA", at positions 30 to 507 of the family's 1533-position model. The record is from RNAcentral.
AUUGAACGCUGGCGGCAUGCCUUACACAUGCAAGUCGAACGGUAACGGGCCUUCGGGUGCCGACGAGUGGCGAACGGGUGCGUAAUACAUCGGAACGUGCCCGAUCGUGGGGGAUAACGAGGCGAAAGCUUUGCUAAUACCGCAUACGAUCUACGGAUGAAAGCCGGGGACCGCAAGGCCUUGCGCGGACGGAGCGGCCGAUGGCAGAUUAGGUAGUUGGUGGGAUAAAAGCUUACCAAGCCGACGAUCCGUAGCUGGUCUGAGAGGAUGAUCAGCCACACUGGGACUGAGACACGGCCCAGACUCCUACGGGAGGCAGCAGUGGGGAAUUUUGGACAAUGGGCGCAAGCCUGAUCCAGCCAUGCCGCGUGCAGGAUGAAGGCCUUCGGGUUGUAAACUGCUUUUGUACGGAACGAAAAGCCUUCUUUUAAUACAGGAGGGUCAUGACGGUACCGUAAGAAUAAGCACCGGCUAACUACGUG